GAAGACGGCCUAAUACCGUAUGAUAUCGUUUGCUGACAUCAAAUAACGAAUUAAAGGUUUAGNCGGUUAUGGAUGGGGAUGCGUCUGAUUAGCUUGUUGGCGGGGUAACGGCCCACCAAGGCAACGAUCAGUAGGGGUUCUGAGAGGAAGGUCCCCCACAUUGGAACUGAGACACGGUCCAAACUCCUACGGGAGGCAGCAGCG
Molecule: ribosomal RNA, 204 nt
Filed under: uncultured Prevotella sp.
Lineage: Bacteria; Pseudomonadati; Bacteroidota; Bacteroidia; Bacteroidales; Prevotellaceae
Description: partial 16S ribosomal RNA
Rfam family: Bacterial small subunit ribosomal RNA
Source: RNAcentral